CCACGGGUGAGUAACACGUAUCCAACCUGCCGUCUACUCUUGGCCAGCCUUCUGAAGGAAGAUUAAUCCAGGAUGGGAUCAUGAGUUCACAUGUCCGCAUGAUUAAAGGUAUUUUCCGGUAGACGAUGGGGAUGCGUUCCAUUAGAUAGUAGGCGGGGUAACGGCCCACCUAGUCAACGAUGGAUAGGGGUUCUGAGAGGAAGGUCCCCCACAUUGGAACUGAGACACGGUCCAA
Molecule: ribosomal RNA, 235 nt
Filed under: uncultured bacterium
Lineage: Bacteria
Description: partial 16S ribosomal RNA
Rfam family: Bacterial small subunit ribosomal RNA
Source: RNAcentral